This is a ribosomal RNA of Salvator merianae (Argentine black and white tegu), 109 nucleotides long. NCBI's taxonomy places the organism in Eukaryota, Metazoa, Chordata, Lepidosauria, Squamata, Teiidae. The record is from Ensembl.
GCCUACGGCCAUACCACCAUGAACACGCCUGAUCUUGGAAGCUAAGCAGGGUCAGGCCGGAUUAGUACCUGGAUGGGAGACCGCCUGGGAAUACCGGGUGCUGUAGGCU